GGUAAAACGCCCGGAACGCCGCCAGGAAGCCGGCGGGGUGCGCGGAGUCCUUGUAGAGCAAAUUACAAGCAAGCUGUAUCCAAGAUCUGGGGACAAACUCAAAGCAAGCUAUUCCAUAACUAAGUUCUGAAAAACACAGAAGAGACCAGCACAGAAUCUGGAAUAUUCAGCAGAAUCACAUCUGGAAUUAAGGAAACACCCAACUGUCCUGGUUUUGGCUGGGAUAGAGUUAACUUCCUUCUUAGUCACUGGUUAGUGCUGUUUUGGAUUUAUUAUGGGAAUCAUGUUGAUAACACACUGUUGUUUUGGUUGUUGCUAAGUGGUGCUUACCCAUAUUCAAGGACUUUUCAGUUUCCCAUGCUCUGUCAGUGAGAAGCUGCACAAGGAGCUGGGGCAGCAUGGCCAGGACAGCUGGGGUAUUCCCCAGCAUGGGAGGGGACACUCAGCACAGGAACUGGGGAGUUGGCUGGGAGGGGCCCAUCGCUGCUCGGGGGUGGGCUGGGCAUCCAGCAGUGGGUGGUGAGCACUGUAUUAUACAUCACUUGUUUCUCCUGAGCUUCAUUCCUUUCUCUCUCCUUUUCAUUACAAUUAUAUCAAUUUAGUAAUGCGAUAUUUUAUUUUGUUUCAAUUAUUAAAUUGUUUUUACCUCAACUCACAGGGUUUAAUUUUUUCCUCAGUUCUCCUCCCCACUGAGUGGGGGAUUGGAGUGCACAAGCUGCUCUACUUAGCUGCCAGCUGGGUUCAAACGAUGGCAACAACUUAAAACCCGAAGUAAUAUAUGAAAUUGUCCUAUGCAACAGCCAUUACCUUUCUUUUGUAUGACCUAUAAACCAGAAAACUUAAACCUGCCACAGCCUGAGACCCACCAGUCCUUAGGUGUCUUUGUGUCCUUCAGUAAAACAAUAGGCCAAGAUCCCAAAUAUGAACAUCUCAGACGCUUACCAAAUAUCCAUCACUAAAGCCAGGCUCCUGAGAACUGAAGUGUAUUACUUUGGACAUCUUAGACAGCAGAGUGUUCAAAGAACCUUCCACAAUACAGUAAAAUAGGUGGAGACAAGGAAAGAAGUGCACAAGGGAAAUUUAUGAAAACCAGCAGCCUGAAAACAGGCAAGACCACUCAAAAAUCUUCAAUUAAUGAAAAAGCAGGUACUGACAUAAUGAAAUGUCUAGAAGAAAAUGAGAAUAACAUUGCACAGAAAACAAAAGAAGACAGAUAUGGCAACUGCAGGCUGCUGAGCUACUCCUCAGACAUCUGCAACUGAGGUACUGUGAAAGUUGGCCUAAUCUCUCAGUUAUUAAAGCACUUAAGCUAAAUAUGAUCUCAGUUUAAUAGUAAACUACGUCAGCAUUUUGAACCUUUUCUGAUAUAUAAGAAUAAAAACAUUUGGCAUGAAAACACAUUAUUAAACUUUAAUGAGACUUACUUUUAAUACCUUUAUAUGCACAGUCCAAUACUUGGGGCUCAUCUCACUGUCAGUCAUAAAGAGAAAGACUGCAUGCUCACAAACAAUCCUUUAGAACUACUUAGAACAAUCUGUUUAAAAGUUAAAAUGGACAUAGACACUUCCUGCCAGACUCUAAAAGAUUGUGCUAUAGAUAAAAAUGAGAAUGACUAGGUAAAUCAGUGUAUACAAUGUAAAUGUAUGUACCAUUCUGUGAGCCUGUGCACUGCAGCAGCAAGCAAGGAGGAAGAAAGGCAUCUGGCUGGCUCAGAGCUGUCAGCAUGGAAGAUCAAACCAGUGUCAGCUCUGUAGAGAGGCAGCAGCAC
This is a long non-coding RNA of Passer montanus (Eurasian tree sparrow), 1768 nucleotides long. RefSeq lists it as uncharacterized. The transcript has 3 exons. The record is from RefSeq and is a predicted model, not a curated record. NCBI's taxonomy places the organism in Eukaryota, Metazoa, Chordata, Aves, Passeriformes, Passeridae.